This is a small nuclear RNA of Nicotiana attenuata, 103 nucleotides long. The record is from Rfam. NCBI's taxonomy places the organism in Eukaryota, Viridiplantae, Streptophyta, Magnoliopsida, Solanales, Solanaceae.
GUUCCUUCAGAGACAUCCGAUAAAAUUGGAACGAUACAUAAAAAAAUUAGCAAAGUCCUUGCGGAAGAAUGACACGCACAAUCGAGAUAUGCUCAAAAAGUAU